Molecule: ribosomal RNA, 427 nt
Filed under: uncultured bacterium
Lineage: Bacteria
Description: bacterial SSU rRNA
Rfam family: Bacterial small subunit ribosomal RNA
Source: RNAcentral
UGGGGAAUAUUGGACAAUGGGCGAAAGCCUGAUCCAGCCAUGCCGCGUGUGUGAAGAAGGUCUUCGGAUUGUAAAGCACCUUAAGUUGGGAGGAAGGGCAUUAACCUAAUACGUUAGUGUCUUGACGUUACCGACAGAAUAAGCACCGGCUAACUCUGUGCCAGCAGCCGCGGUAAUACAGAGGGUGCAAGCGUGAAUCGGAAUUACUGGGCGUAAAGCGCGCGUAGGUGGUUUGUUAAGUUGAAUGUGAAAUCCCCGGGCUCAACCUGGGAACUGCAUCCGAAACGGGCAGGCUAGAGUAUAGGAGGGGGUAGUGGAAUUUCCUGUGUAGCGGUGGAAUGCGUAGAUAUAGGAAGGAACACCGGUGGCGAAGGCGAUUACCUGGACUGAAACUGACACUGAGGUACGAAAGCGUGGGGAGCAAACA